This 424-nucleotide ribosomal RNA is filed under the name uncultured prokaryote. RNAcentral's name for it is "bacterial SSU rRNA". It matches the Rfam family "Bacterial small subunit ribosomal RNA", at positions 355 to 796 of the family's 1533-position model. The record is from RNAcentral.
UGGGGAAUCUUGGACAAUGGGGGCAACCCUGAUCCAGCGACGCCGCGUGGGUGAUGAAGGCCUUCGGGUUGUAAAGCCCUUUCGCCGGGGACGAUGAUGACGGUACCCGGAGAAUAAGCACCGGCUAACUCCGUGCCAGCAGCCGCGGUAAUACGGAGGGAGCUAGCGUUGUUCGGAAUUACUGGGCGUAAAGCGCGCGUAGGCGGCUUUUCAAGUCAGGGGUGAAAUCCCGGGGCUCAACCCCGGAACUGCCCUUGAAACUGGGAAGCUAGAAUCCUGGAGAGGCGAGUGGAAUUCCGAGUGUAGAGGUGAAAUUCGUAGAUAUUCGGAAGAACACCAGUGGCGAAGGCGACUCGCUGGACAGGUAUUGACGCUGAGGUGCGAAAGCGUGGGGAGCAAACAGGAUUAGAUACCCCCGUAGUCC